This 251-nucleotide ribosomal RNA is filed under the name uncultured bacterium. RNAcentral describes it as "partial 16S ribosomal RNA". It matches the Rfam family "Bacterial small subunit ribosomal RNA", at positions 526 to 776 of the family's 1533-position model. The record is from RNAcentral.
CGAAGGGGGCUAGCGUUGUUCGGAAUUACUGGGCGUAAAGCGUGCGCAGGCGGCUUCUCAAGUCAGGGGUGAAAGCCCAGAGCUCAACUCUGGAAUUGCCUUUGAGACUGAGAGGCUUGAGUACGGGAGAGGUGAGUGGAAUUCCCAGUGUAGAGGUGAAAUUCGUAGAUAUUGGGAAGAACACCAGUGGCGAAGGCGGUUGCCUGGAGCUUUGCUGACGCUGAGGCGCGAAAGCGUGGGGAGCGAUCCGG